RNAcentral lists this ribosomal RNA (440 nucleotides) under uncultured bacterium. RNAcentral's name for it is "bacterial SSU rRNA". It matches the Rfam family "Bacterial small subunit ribosomal RNA", at positions 30 to 470 of the family's 1533-position model. The record is from RNAcentral.
AUUGAACGCUGGCGGCAGGCUUAACACAUGCAAGUCGAGCGGGGGAAGGUAGCUUGCUACCUGACCUAGCGGCGGACGGGUGAGUAAUGCUUAGGAAUCUGCCUAUUAGUGGGGGACAACAUCUCGAAAGGGAUGCUAAUACCGCAUACGUCCUACGGGAGAAAGCAGGGGACCUUCGGGCCUUGCGCUAAUAGAUGAGCCUAAGUCGGAUUAGCUAGUUGGUGGGGUAAAGGCCUACCAAGGCGACGAUCUGUAGCGGGUCUGAGAGGAUGAUCCGCCACACUGGGACUGAGACACGGCCCAGACUCCUACGGGAGGCAGCAGUGGGGAAUAUUGGACAAUGGGGGGAACCCUGAUCCAGCCAUGCCGCGUGUGUGAAGAAGGCCUUUUGGUUGUAAAGCACUUUAAGCGAGGAGGAGGCUACCGAGAUUAAUACUCUU